GGCACUAGGAGCCGAUGAAGGACGUGAUAAGCUGCGAUAAGCUUCGGGGAGUUGCACGUAAACUUUGAUCCGAAGAUUUCCGAAUGAGGAAACUCACUUAGAGUAAUGUCUAAGUAUCAUUAAGUGAAUACAUAGCUUAAUGAGGGGAACUCAGGGAACUGAAAUAUCUAAGUACCGGAAGGAAGAGAAAGAAAAUCGAAUCCGUACGUAGCGGCGAGCGAAGUGGAAUUAGCACAAACCAAUAACGUUUUAUUUAUUGAGGUUGGGGACAUAUCAUAACGCAGAGGUAUCGUAAUUGAAGAGGUUGGGAAUGACCCACCACAGACUGUAAUAGUCCUGUAUGUUAAACGAGAAGACUUUAGAUAUGAUCCAGCGUACCACGGGACACGUGAAACCCUGUGGGACGCAGGAGGGACCACCCUCCAAGGCUAAAGACUACCUAGUGACCGAUAGCGGAAUGCACC
RNAcentral lists this ribosomal RNA (464 nucleotides) under Clostridioides difficile. Its description in RNAcentral is "bacterial LSU rRNA". It matches the Rfam family "Bacterial large subunit ribosomal RNA", at positions 35 to 502 of the family's 2925-position model. Lineage: Bacteria; Bacillati; Bacillota; Clostridia; Peptostreptococcales; Peptostreptococcaceae. The record is from RNAcentral.